UCAAGUUAUUAAGGGUGCAGGGGCGGAUGCCUUGGCACUAGGAGCCGAUGAAGGACGUGAUAAGCUGCGAUAAGCUUCGGGGAGUUGCACGUAAACUUUGAUCCGAAGAUUUCCGAAUGAGGAAACUCACUUAGAGUAAUGUCUAAGUAUCAUUAAGUGAAUACAUAGCUUAAUGAGGGGAACUCAGGGAACUGAAACAUCUAAGUACCUGAAGGAAGAGAAAGAAAUUCGAUUCCGUAAGUAGCGGCGAGCGAACGCGGAUUAGCCCAAACCAAUAAAGUUUUCUUUAUUGGGGUUGCGGACAUAUCAUAACGAAGAGGUAUCGUAAUUGAAGAGGUUUGGAAAGACCCACCACAGAAGGUAAUAGUCCUGUAUGUUAAACGAGAAGACUUCAGAUAUGAUCCAGAGUACCACGGGACACGUGAAACCCUGUGGGAAGCAGGAGGGACCACCCUCCAAGGCUAAAUACUACCUAGUGACCGAUAGCGUAUAGUACCGUGAGGGAAAGGUGAAAAGAACCCCGGGAGGGGAGUGAAAUAGAACCUGAAACCCUGCACUUACAAGCUGUGGAAGCACAUUUCUUGUGUGACCGCGUACUUUUUGUAGAACGGGCCAACGAGUUACGUUAAGUAGCAAGGUUAAGCACUUAAGGUGUGGAGCCGUAGCGAAAGCGAGUUUUAACUGAGCGUUCAGUUACUUGACGUAGACCCGAAACCGGGCGACCUACCCAUGAGCAGGAUGAAGCGAAAGUAAAAUUUCGUGGAGGUCCGAACCCACGAGCGUUGAAAAGCUCGGGGAUGACUUGUGGGUAGCGGUGAAAUUCCAAUCGAGCCCGGAGAUAGCUGGUUCUCCCCGAAAUAGCUUUAGGGCUAGCCUCAAGGUGAGAGAUACGGAGGUAGAGCAAUGAAUGUCCUAGGGGGUAUUGCACCUACCGAAGACUAUCAAACUCCGAAUGCCGUCAUCUUAUACUUGGGAGUCAGACUGUGGGUGAUAAGAUUCAUAGUCGAAAGGGCAACAGCCCAGAUCGUCAGCUAAGGUCCCUAAAUGUAAGUUAAGUGGUAAAGGAUGUGGGAUUGCACAGACAACCAGGAUGUUGGCUUAGAAGCAGCCACUCAUUCAAAGAGUGCGUAAUAGCUCACUGGUCGAGUGAUCCUGCGCCGAAGAUUUCCGGGGCUAAAACUUACUACCGAAGCUACGGCAUCAGUAAUGAUGGGUAGGGGAGCUUCCCAUACGGGUUGAAGCAUGACCGUAAGGACAUGUGGACAGUAUGGGAGUGAGAAUGUUGGCAUGAGUAGCGAUAUGUGGGUGAGAUUUCCACAGGCCGUAAACCCAAGGUUUCCAGGGGAAGGUUCGUCCGCCCUGGGUUAGUCGGGACCUAAGCUGAGGCCGAAAGGCGUAGGUGAUGGACAACAGGUUGAUAUUCCUGUACUACCGAUAACCGUUUGAGAGAAGGGAUGACACAGUAGGAUAAGCUAAGCACACUGUUGGUUAUGUGUGCCCAAGCAUUGAGGCAGUCAAAGUAGGCAAAUCCGCUUUGAUAAUGCUGGGAUGUGAUGGGGAGCGAAAUUUAGUAGCGAAGUAGCUGAUUUCACACUGUCAAGAAAAGUCUCUAUCGAGGUUAAAGGGACCCGUACCGCAAACCGACACAGGUGGGUGAGGAGAGUAUCCUAAGGCCAGCGAGAGAACUGUUGUUAAGGAACUCGGCAAAAUGACCCCGUAACUUAGGGAUAAGGGGUGCCACCAUCAGGUGGCCGCAGAGAAUAGGCCCAAGCGACUGUUUACCAAAAACAUAGGUUUCUGCUAAGUCGCAAGACGAUGUAUAGGAGCUGACGCCUGCCCGGUGCUGGAAGGUUAAGGGGAUCUGUUAGAGCAAUCGAAGCAGUGAACUUAAGCCCCAGUAAACGGCGGCCGUAACUAUAACGGUCCUAAGGUAGCGAAAUUCCUUGUCGGGUAAGUUCCGACCCGCACGAAAGGCGUAACGAUUUGGGCACUGUCUCAACAACAGACUCGGUGAAAUUGUAAUUCCGGUGAAGAUGCCGGAUACCUGCGACAGGACGGAAAGACCCCAUGGAGCUUUACUGUAGCUUGACAUUGGGUUUUGGUACUACAUGUACAGGAUAGGUGGGAGGCUUUGAAACCAGGACGCCAGUUUUGGCGGAGCCAUCCUUGGGAUACCACCCUUGUAGUACUGGGACUCUAACCAUAGGCCAUGAAUCUGGUCUUGGGACACUGUCAGGUGGGCAGUUUGACUGGGGCGGUCGCCUCCCAAAAGGUAACGGAGGCGCUCAAAGGUUCUCUCAGUACGGUCGGAAAUCGUACGUAGAGUGUAAAGGCAAAAGAGAGCUUGAUUGCAAGACAUACAGGUCGAGCAAGGAUGAAAAUCGGACUUAGUGAUCCGGUGGUUCUGCGUGGAAGGGCCAUCGCUCAACGGAUAAAAGCUACCCUGGGGAUAACAGGCUUAUCUCCCCCAAGAGUCCACAUCGACGGGGAGGUUUGGCACCUCGAUGUCGGCUCAUCACAUCCUGGGGCUGUAGUAGGUCCCAAGGGUUGGGCUGUUCGCCCAUUAAAGUGGUACGCGAGCUGGGUUCAGAACGUCGUGAGACAGUUCGGUCCCUAUCCGUCGCAGGCGUAGGAAAUUUGAGAAGACCUGUCCUUAGUACGAGAGGACCGGGAUGGACGUACCUCUGGUGUACCAGUUGUUCUGCCAAGGGCAUGGCUGGGUAGCUAUGUACGGAAUGGAUAAGCGCUGAAAGCAUCUAAGCGCGAAGCCAACUUCAAGAUAAGAUUUCCCACCGCAAGGGUAAGACCCCAGAAAGACUAUCUGGUUGAUAGGUCGAAGGUGUAAGUGCAGCAAUGUAUUUAGCUUAUCGAUACUAAUAGGUCGAGGACUUGACCAA
This 2897-nucleotide ribosomal RNA is filed under the name Clostridioides difficile. Its description in RNAcentral is "23S ribosomal RNA". It matches the Rfam family "Bacterial large subunit ribosomal RNA". Lineage: Bacteria; Bacillati; Bacillota; Clostridia; Peptostreptococcales; Peptostreptococcaceae. The record is from RNAcentral.